RNAcentral lists this ribosomal RNA (912 nucleotides) under uncultured archaeon. RNAcentral describes it as "bacterial SSU rRNA". It matches the Rfam family "Archaeal small subunit ribosomal RNA", at positions 1 to 920 of the family's 1478-position model. The record is from RNAcentral.
UUCCGGUUGAUCCCGCCGGACCUGACUGCUAUCGGAUUGAUACUAAGCCAUGUGAGUCAUUGUAGCAAUACAAGGCAGACGGCUCAGUAACACGUAGCCAACCUACCCUAUGGACGGGAAUAACCUCGGGAAACUGAGAAUAAUGCCCGAUAGAACAUUAUGCCUGGAAUGGUUUAUGUUCCAAAUGAUUUAUCGCCGUAGGAUGGGACUGCGGCCUAUCAGUUUGUUGGUGAGGUAAUGGCCCACCAAGACUAUUACAGGUACGGGCUCUGAGAGGAGUGGCCCGGAGAUGGGUACUGAGACACGGACCCAGGCCCUAUGGGGCGCAGCAGGCGAGAAAACUUUGCAAUGUGCGAAAGCACGACAAGGUUAAUCCGAGUGGUUUCUGCUAAAGGAACCUUUUGUUAGUCGUAGAACCACUAACGAAUAAGGGGUGGGCAAGUUCUGGUGUCAGCCGCCGCGGUAAAACCAGCACCUCAAGUGGUCAGGAUGAUUAUUGGGCCUAAAGCAUCCGUAGCCUGAUCUGUAAGUUUUCGGUUAAAUCUGUACGCUCAACGUACAGGCUGCCGGAAAUACUGCAAAUCUAGGGAGUGGGAGAGGUAGACGGUACUCGGGAGGAAGUGGUAAAAUGCUUUGAUCUCUCGAUGACCACCUGUGGCGAAGGCGGUCUACCAGAACACGUCCGACGGUGAGGGAUGAAAGCUGGGGGAGCAAACCGGAUUAGAUACCCGGGUAGUCCCAGCUGUAAACUAUGUAAACUCAGUGAUGCAUUGGCUUGUGGCCAAUGCAGUGUUGCAGGGAAGCCGUUAAGUUUACCGCCUGGGAAGUACGUACGCAAGUAUGAAACUUAAAGGAAUUGGCGGGGGAGCACCACAAGGGGUGAAGCCUGCGGUUCAAUUGGAGUCAACGCCG